GACGAACGCUGGCGGCGUGCUUAACACAUGCAAGUCGAACGGAAAGGCCCUGCUUGCAGGGUACUCGAGUGGCGAACGGGUGAGUAACACGUGGGUGAUCUGCCCUGCACUUCGGGAUAAGCCUGGGAAACUGGGUCUAAUACCGGAUAGGAGCCAUUCUUAGUGUGAUGGUUGGAAAGUUUUUUCGGUGUAGGAUGAGCUCGCGGCCUAUCAGCUUGUUGGUGGGGUAAUGGCCUACCAAGGCGGCGACGGGUAGCCGGCCUGAGAGGGUGGACGGCCACAUUGGGACUGAGAUACGGCCCAGACUCCUACGGGAGGCAGCAGUGGGGAAUAUUGCACAAUGGGCGCAAGCCUGAUGCAGCGACGCCGCGUGGGGGAUGACGGCCUUCGGGUUGGAAACUCCUUUCGCUAGGGACGAAGCUUUUUGUGACGGUACCUAGAUAAGAAGCACCGGCUAACUACGUG
This 465-nucleotide ribosomal RNA is filed under the name uncultured bacterium. Its description in RNAcentral is "partial 16S ribosomal RNA". It matches the Rfam family "Bacterial small subunit ribosomal RNA", at positions 28 to 507 of the family's 1533-position model. The record is from RNAcentral.